AUCCUAACUCGGAGCACUUAUA
This 22-nucleotide microRNA is filed under the name Sarcophilus harrisii (Tasmanian devil). RNAcentral's name for it is "Sha-Mir-430-o25_5p (mature (guide))". The record is from RNAcentral. Lineage: Eukaryota; Metazoa; Chordata; Mammalia; Dasyuromorphia; Dasyuridae.